GGUUUGGUGGUGUAAUGGCCAGCACUCUGGACUUUAAAUCCACUGAUCUGAGUUCACCUCUCGGCAGAGCAU
Molecule: transfer RNA, 72 nt
Filed under: Alligator mississippiensis (American alligator)
Lineage: Eukaryota; Metazoa; Chordata; Crocodylia; Alligatoridae
Rfam family: tRNA
About the family: Transfer RNA (tRNA) molecules are approximately 80 nucleotides in length. Their secondary structure includes four short double-helical elements and three loops (D, anti-codon, and T loops).
Source: Rfam by way of RNAcentral